AGUGAACGCUGGCGGUAGGCCUAACACAUGCAAGUCGAACGGCAGCACAGUAAGAGCUUGCUCUUACGGGUGGCGCGUGGCGGACGGGUGAGGAAUACAUCGGAAUCUACUUUUUCGUGGGGGAUAACGUAGGGAAACUUACGCUAAUACCGCAUACGACCUACGGGUGAAAGCAGGGGAUCUUCGGACCUUGCGCGAUUGAAUGAGCCGAUGUCGGAUUAGCUAGUUGGCGGGGUAAAGGCCCACCAAGGCGACGAUCCGUAGCUGGUCUGAGAGGAUGAUCAGCCACACUGGUACUGAGACACGGUCCAGACUCCUACGGGAGGCAGCAGUGGGGAAUAUUGGACAAUGGGCGCAAGCCUGAUCCAGCCAUACCGCGUGGGUGAAGAAGGCCUUCGGGUUGUAAAGCCCUUUUGUUGGGAAAGAAAAGCAGCAGGUUAAUACCCCGCUGUUCUGACGGUACCCAAAGAAUAAGCACCGGCUAACUUCGUG
RNAcentral lists this ribosomal RNA (492 nucleotides) under uncultured bacterium. RNAcentral describes it as "partial 16S ribosomal RNA". It matches the Rfam family "Bacterial small subunit ribosomal RNA", at positions 29 to 507 of the family's 1533-position model. The record is from RNAcentral.